Molecule: ribosomal RNA, 264 nt
Filed under: uncultured archaeon
Lineage: Archaea
Description: partial 16S ribosomal RNA
Rfam family: Archaeal small subunit ribosomal RNA
Source: RNAcentral
AGACGUCUACAUUAGAUACCCGCGUAGUCCCAGCCGUAAACUAUGCGCGUUAGGUGUAUCGGUGACCACGAGUCACCGAGGUGCCGAAGGGAAACCGUGAAACGUGCCGCCUGGGAAGUACGGUCGCAAGGCUGAAACUUAAAGGAAUUGGCGGGGAGCACCACAACGGGUGGAGCCUGCGGUUUAAUCGGACUCAACGCCGGGAAGCUCACCGGAUAAGACAGCGGAAUGAUUGCCGGGCUGAAGACUCUGCAUGACUAGCUG